Molecule: ribosomal RNA, 1286 nt
Filed under: metagenome
Description: bacterial SSU rRNA
Rfam family: Bacterial small subunit ribosomal RNA
Source: RNAcentral
UAGCUAGUUGGUGAGGUAAAGGCUUACCAAGGCGACGACCUGUAGCGGGUCUGAGAGGAUGAUCCGCCACACUGGAACUGAGACACGGUCCAGACUCCUACGGGAGGCAGCAGUGGGGAAUUUUGGACAAUGGGGGCAACCCUGAUCCAGCCAUGCCGCGUGAGUGAAGAAGGCCUUCGGGUUGUAAAGCUCUUUCGGCCGGGAAGAAAUCGCAUGGGCCAAUACCCUGUGUGGAUGACGGUACCGGAAUAAGAAGCACCGGCUAACUACGUGCAGCAGCCGCGGUAAUACGUAGGGUGCGAGCGUUAAUCGGAAUUACUGGGCGUAAAGCGUGCGCAGGCGGUUUUGUAAGACAGGCGUGAAAUCCCCGGGCUUAACCUGGGAACUGCGUUUGUGACUGCAAGGCUAGAGUACGGCAGAGGGGGGUGGAAUUCCACGUGUAGCAGUGAAAUGCGUAGAGAUGUGGAGGAACACCAAUGGCGAAGGCAGCCCCCUGGGUCGAUACUGACGCUCAUGCACGAAAGCGUGGGUAGCAAACAGGAUUAGAUACCCUGGUAGUCCACGCCCUAAACUAUGUCAACUAGGUGUUGGGUGGGUAAAACCAUUUAGUACCGUAGCUAACGCGUGAAGUUGACCGCCUGGGGAGUACGGCCGCAAGGUUAAAACUCAAAGGAAUUGACGGGGACCCGCACAAGCGGUGGAUGAUGUGGAUUAAUUCGAUGCAACGCGAAAAACCUUACCUACCCUUGACAUGCCAGGAACUUGCCAGAGAUGGCUUGGUGCCCGAAAGGGAGCCUGGACACAGGUGCUGCAUGGCUGUCGUCAGCUCGUGUCGUGAGAUGUUGGGUUAAGUCCCGCAACGAGCGCAACCCUUGUCGUUAAUUGCCAUCAUUUAGUUGGGCACUUUAACGAGACUGCCGGUGACAAACCGGAGGAAGGUGGGGAUGACGUCAAGUCCUCAUGGCCCUUAUGGGUAGGGCUUCACACGUCAUACAAUGGUCGGUACAAAGGGUUGCCAAGCCGCGAGGCGGAGCCAAUCCCAGAAAGCCGAUCGUAGUCCGGAUUGCAGGCUGCAACUCGCCUGCAUGAAGUCGGAAUCGCUAGUAAUCGUGGAUCAGCAUGUCACGGUGAAUACGUUCCCGGGUCUUGUACACACCGCCCGUCACACCAUGGGAGCGGGUUCCGCCAGAAGUAGGUAGCCUAACCGCAAGGGGGGCGCUUACCACGGCGGGGUUCGUGACUGGGGUGAAGUCGUAACAAGGUAGCCGUAGGGGAACCUGCGGCUG